GGUAAAGUAUAGAGAGAGAGGGAGAGAUUCACCACUAGCCUUCAAUAAAUCAUUUCUCUCCCAAAAUGGCAAACAACUGUUAAAAUGUUGCAGCAUUGUAUCUUAUAUGCAUUUUAGUUUCUGUGGUAGCUUUUCAGUUAUGUAAAGCGGAUAGCGACCUUCAAGAAGGAGACGUUUAUAAACAGUGUUUGAAAGAACGCGAUGACAAAUGCAAAGCAGAUGGAUACGGUGAAGCUUUUGUCAUACAAAAUGUUCUAAACCUUGUGAAUACCAGCAAAAAGAUGCAAACGUAAAAGAGAAAAACACCGCAAUCAAGGACACAGCAACUUACCUUCGCAGAAGUAUCAGUAAGGCAACAACGAACCGUGUACAAAGUACUGAUGCCGGCUUAGUUGCAUUGUUUGGCAUCUUCAUGUUGGCCUUGUAUAAUUAAUUGAGUUGAUGCAUAAGGUGAUACGGAUGACAAUAACAAGCUCGAUCUUCUGGACAUCAGAUUUAUGUGUCGACGUACUGUUGCACUUCUUAAAAAAAUAGCUAGCUAGAAGUUUAGACUGUUAUCUUGCUACUUCAUUAAUUGUAUCUUCUUUGAGUUUUUUGCCAGACAUGUAACUGUAUAAACUAUGAUUUGGUUCUUCCAGUUCUGGUAGUACUCCAUCAAUUUCUCAUUGUUGAGUCUGUUAUACGUACAUUAUUGGUACGGUUUGCAUGGACAGUAGGGUAUACUACAUAUAUGUAUUCUUAUGUACGUA
Molecule: long non-coding RNA, 749 nt
Organism: Papaver somniferum (opium poppy)
Lineage: Eukaryota; Viridiplantae; Streptophyta; Magnoliopsida; Ranunculales; Papaveraceae
Exons: 4
Source: RefSeq, a predicted model, not a curated record